UUCAGCGGGGAGGAAGGGAGUAAAGUUAAUACCUUUGCUCAUUGACGUUACCCGCAGAAGAAGCACCGGCUAACUCCGUGCCAGCAGCCGCGGUAAUACGGAGGGUGCAAGCGUUAAUCGGAAUUACUGGGCGUAAAGCGCACGCAGGCGGUUUGUUAAGUCAGAUGUGAAAUCCCCGGGCUCAACCUGGGAACUGCAUCUGAUACUGGCAAGCUUGAGUCUCGUAGAGGGGGGUAGAAUUCCAGGUGUAGCGGUGAAAUGCGUAGAGAUCUGGAGGAAUACCGGUGGCGAAGGCGGCCCCCUGGACGAAGACUGACGCUCAGGU
This 325-nucleotide ribosomal RNA is filed under the name Ammoniphilus sp. CFH 90114. RNAcentral describes it as "bacterial SSU rRNA". It matches the Rfam family "Bacterial small subunit ribosomal RNA", at positions 434 to 752 of the family's 1533-position model. Lineage: Bacteria; Bacillati; Bacillota; Bacilli; Caryophanales; Paenibacillaceae. The record is from RNAcentral.